GACGAACCGUGCGACCGUUGUUCGGAAUCACUGGGCUUAAAGGGCGCGUAGGCGGCAGAUCAAGUCCGGGGUGAAAUCCUCCAGCUCAACUGGAGAAGUGCCUUGGAUACUGAUGUGCUCGAGGGAGGUAGGGGUCCGCGGAACUUCUGGUGGAGCGGUGAAAUGCGUUGAUAUCAGAAGGAACGCCGGUGGCGAGAGCGGCGGACUGGAUCUCUUCUGACGCUGAGGCGCGAAAGCUAGGGGAGCAAACGGG
This 253-nucleotide ribosomal RNA is filed under the name uncultured bacterium. Its description in RNAcentral is "partial 16S ribosomal RNA". It matches the Rfam family "Bacterial small subunit ribosomal RNA", at positions 524 to 776 of the family's 1533-position model. The record is from RNAcentral.